AGGGGGCAAGCGGUAUCCGGAUUUACUGGGUGUAAAGGGAGCGUAGACGGAAGUGCAAGUCUGAAGUGAAAACUUGGGGCUCAACCCCGAGACUGCUUUGGAAACUGUGCUUCUAGAGUGUCGGAGAGGUAAGCGGAAUUCCUAGUGUAGCGGUGAAAUGCGUAGAUAUUAGGAGGAACACCAGUGGCGAAGGCGGCUUACUGGACGAUAACUGACGUUGAGGCUCGAAAGCGUGGGGAGCAAA
This 244-nucleotide ribosomal RNA is filed under the name uncultured bacterium. RNAcentral's name for it is "partial 16S ribosomal RNA". It matches the Rfam family "Bacterial small subunit ribosomal RNA", at positions 529 to 772 of the family's 1533-position model. The record is from RNAcentral.